RNAcentral lists this ribosomal RNA (306 nucleotides) under uncultured bacterium. Its description in RNAcentral is "bacterial SSU rRNA". It matches the Rfam family "Bacterial small subunit ribosomal RNA", at positions 29 to 333 of the family's 1533-position model. The record is from RNAcentral.
AUUGAACGCUGGCGGAAUGCUUUACACAUGCAAGUCGAGCGGCGAGCGCGGGGGCAACCCUGGCGGCGAGCGGCGAACGGGUGAGUAAUACAUCGGAACGUGUCCUUCAAGUGGGGGAUAGCUCGGCGAAAGCCGGAUUAAUACCGCAUAAGCUCUGAGGAGGAAAGCGGGGGACUGGUAACGGCCUCGCGCUGUUGGGAGCGGCCGAUGUCGGAUUAGCUAGUUGGUGGGGAAGGCCCACCAAGGCGACGAUCCGUAGCUGGUCUGAGAGGAUGAUCAGCCACACUGGAACUGAGACACGGUCCA